RNA transcript from Microplitis mediator, 6370 nucleotides. It is a transcript of the gene named serine/threonine-protein kinase NLK, with no coding region annotated. The record is from RefSeq and is a predicted model, not a curated record. NCBI's taxonomy places the organism in Eukaryota, Metazoa, Arthropoda, Insecta, Hymenoptera, Braconidae. The transcript is spliced from 10 exons.
UCCAAGGAGGCAGCUAGUGGCCAACGAGCCUCGGCAGUAAUCGGACGUGUUUACGUUUUCCUUCCCUUUUUAAAUCACAAAUGAACAAUAAAUACCUAUAUACAUAUAUAUAGACACAAAUAUAUGUAUAUAUCCAUACAUUUCUCCACCCAGUGUACAGUAACCGCGUGAAUCUGCGUAAAAACGACGGAAAAUAAAAAGUCGUAAUUUGAAUCAGUGAUCAAUCAGCAGCUAAUCAGUCCCUCCCAUAAAGUGUUUUCCGCCCAAAAGACAUAACGACAACGCGACCAAGCCAAGCUCUGUUCUCUGUAUCUGCUCUUGUCUACACUCUAGUGCUCUAGUGACUUAAAGUUUCAUUAAAACUGUGCGUGUGUGGAAAAAAAUAUAAAAUACAAAAUAACUUAACUUAUGAUUGUGAUAACCGAUAAGUUGGUAUUCAAAUGAACAUUAAGAAUAUUAACCUAAUAUAAUUAUUAUUCGUACUGUGUACGACGUAGUAUAAUAAUAAUAAUAACAAUAAAAAUAAAAAAAGAUAACGAAAGCCGAGGACACUGGCCUCGCGUCCUCCGUCGUCAUCCCCCGCGUUCCCCUUGUUCGGAUUUCGCCCUAAAAAUAAUUUUCUACUGGAAAAUAAAUUAAAUAUUAACACGUACGAUAAAUUUCCAAGCAGUGGACUGAUAAUAGGUGACACUGGAACGUGGGGAUUAAACGGGGAUCAAUUGUCGAUGUGGAACCGACGGUUGCCGUACGGAGUAAAUAUGCGCGAGUGUUGGUACAGUUGACCUAACCUCUGCAAGAGAGUGCGCGAGGUACUCCUGGAUUAUAAAUACGAGUUGUAUUUUAUUUAAAUUUGAAUUUUAUUGUUAAUUUUGUCCAGGUGUCUUCUGGAGCAGGAGGUGAUGAAUAAGCGCACGGAUCACGCAGAGCUACAGUGCUUGUGAAGUCUGACAAGUUUUUAAAACCUGAUAAGAGUAAUUGCUGUCAUAGUUGGAGACAGUGAUAGGAGUAGACGUAGAGAUAGACGUAGACGUAGAGGCAGAGACGUAGAGCCAGUUCGAGGUUGGGGUAUAACUGGACGAGACGUUCCUGUAAUUUUAUUGAGUGAUCUCGAGUCUUGGCUGUCAAGGAGAACAAAGGAGCGAGUAGUUGACAGGAGUCGAUAAGCGUACUCGGGAAUAGUUAAUUGCCUGGGGUAUCAGAUCCCUAGGAACACUUGAUGGCAGUAGUGGGGCCAAGUCGGCACUCGCGGGUGUCCAUGAGCGUCUCGAUGUCGCUGAUGCAGGGGGGUGGAGCAGCCGGUGGAACCGCUGGCAGCUCCACGGGGACACAUCCCGGUCAGGCAGUUCUUGCUGCCCAGGCACCCCCUAAUUAUUAUCAUCCAGCUGCUCCUGCGCCUCAAUCUCAACCACCACCAGCUCAGGAUCCUGUCCAGCCUGAUCGGCCUAUCGGUUAUGGAGCUUUCGGCGUCGUCUGGGCUGUGACUGAUCCACGUGAUGGGAGAAGAGUUGCUUUAAAAAAGUUACCAAAUGUCUUUCAAAGUCUUGUGAGCAGCAAGCGCGUGUUCCGCGAACUCAAGAUGUUAUGUUUCUUCAAACACGAGAACGUACUGUCGGCUCUGGACAUCCUGCAGCCGCCGCACCUUGAUUUCUUCCAAGAAAUAUAUGUGAUAACGGAGUUACUUCAAAGUGAUCUUCACAAGAUAAUCGUCAGCCCGCAGCACCUCAGUUCGGACCACAUCAAGGUCUUCCUCUACCAAAUUUUACGGGGACUAAAGUAUCUGCACUCGGCGAGAAUUCUACAUCGCGACAUAAAGCCGGGCAAUCUAUUGGUGAACAGCAACUGUGUGCUGAAGAUAUGCGACUUUGGUUUGGCGAGAGUCGAGGAGCCAGAUAAGAACAAACACAUGACCCAGGAGGUUGUUACGCAGUACUACCGCGCACCGGAAAUUCUCAUGGGUGCCCGUCAUUACACUGCUGCGGUGGAUGUCUGGAGUGUCGGGUGCAUCUUUGGUGAGCUUCUGCGUCGGCGGAUUCUUUUCCAAGCCCAGAGUCCUGUUCAGCAGCUUGAACUGAUCACGGAGUUGCUGGGCACCCCGACGAUAGAAGACAUGCGAUAUGCCUGCGAGGGCGCAAGGACUCAUAUGCUAAGACGGGCACCUAAACCUUCUUCCCUGACGGCGCUUUAUACUUUGAGUAAUCAAGCGACUCACGAAGCCGUUCAUUUACUCUGUCAGAUGCUCGUCUUCGAUCCCGACAAGAGAAUCACUGUCGUCGACGCCCUUGCGCAUCCUUAUCUCGACGAAGGAAGACUGAGAUAUCAUUCGUGCAUGUGCACGUGCUGCUACACUACCAAUGCAGGCAUGAGACAAUACACGUCGGAAUUUGAGCCUUCGACGUCGCAUCCUUUUGAUGACCUGUGGGAACGUAAGCUCACUAGUGUACAGCAGGUCAAAGAGGAGAUGCACAAAUUUAUUGCCGAACAAUUGAAUACAUCUCGAGUGCCUCUGUGUAUAAAUCCGCAGUCCGCGGCAUUCAAAAGUUUUGCCAGUUAGAGCAAGUGAACCACCAAGCCAGCAACUACGUGCGCCGCGUAUAUGUACACAAUUACUUCUACUACUACUACUACUACCACUACUACUACUACUACUAUCCAUAUGAGCUAUCUACCGCUGUGUCAACUACUAUCGUCUACUUACGUCUCCUCCUCAACAAAAUGAUUCGAGAUAAAUCAGCUAUAGUUGGCACAACCUCGCUCGCAGAGUUCCACUGUGGCACAUCCUUCGGAAUUACCACCGUCACCUCAUCAGUGGGAGUAAUCAUCCAACGUCACUAUAAAAAAACAAACAGUAAUAAUACCAAUGCAUUUAAUUGGAGUAUUAUCACUAGGAAGUUCUCCAGGUCAUCCUCAAGGAUGUCCCGACGACAUUGAGUUGAUUAUUAAUAUCCGAUACCAUCUGAUCUUAUAUGAUAUGAUUAAAUAAAAAAAACUAACGGGGAGAAGCCGCAAUAACGUUCAUGGACGUGAUAAUAACGCUCGUGAACCGAGAGCCAAGAGAGACAAUAGACUGCCGAGUACUUUGUAGCUUCGAAUUUCAAUACUAGCUGAUAAAAAAACAAAAUGUUUUAAACAAACACUAGUUCUGUUUUAUUAAAAAUAGAUAAAUCUUUUUUUUUUUUAAGAGACGAGUACAUAAGACUGGGGAAUUUAAAAUAAAAUCAAGGGAUGGGAAGGUAGAUAAUUUUUUCAUUGAUAAGUAGUAGACAAUUUAUCCUUUUUUUUUUUUAAUUAAAACGAGGAAGGCCAGUUUUUACUAUUAGAUUUUUUCAUCAUUUAACUUUACACUAUUCCUCGUUUUUUCUUAUUAAUUAAUUAAUUAAUUAAUUGAUAAUUAAUUACUAUAAUAAUAAAUAAUUAUAGAUAUAAAUAUUCAGGCGUACGUUUAAAAGCUGGCAAAUAAAUGAAAUCCUGGGAUUCAUUUAAAGUAAAAAUUUAAAUAAUUAAUUAAUUAAUUAAGAUUUAAAAUUUAUCAGGAAGCUGAUGCGGUAUCGCAAAUUUAUGAUAUUUAUUAAUAAAAUGCUUCCAUGUUAUAGGAACGUGCAAUUCCUAAAGCAAUUGAAUUUAAAAAGUAAUUAAAAAUUUAGGCGGGAAAAAAAAAAUUUGAAUUGAGAUUCAAACAAAUAAUUGGGAAAUUAUUUGGAAUAGGAUCUUGUAAGUGCGAUAACGUUCUCAUUGAGUCGUGCAGACUCGAGUGUCUUAAAUAUUAAUAAUAAAUUAAAAAAAAAAAAAAAGAUACUCGGAAAUAACGUUAUGAGUGUGAUUUUAGUGAUAAGUUAACGGCUUGGAGAUAAUUUUUACCACGAGAUCCUAGGCCUAAAUAUAAAUAGCUAUGGUUGUAAUUGUAAUUGUAAUCUUUAAUUUUUAAAGACAGGUAAAAAACAUACGGAUAUUAAUUAUAAUUAUAUUGAUAAUAAAUAUAAACAAACGUAAUUAUUGUACGAAACAUAAAUUUAAUGUUUUAAUAACAGUAAUGUGUUCUUUUUUAACGCGUAGAUUACGUCUACGUAUAACUUAACGUUCAUUUCAAUUAGCUAAUUUAAAAUGUUCAUUAAUAAUUGUAAUAAUUAAUGAGUUUGUCGGAUAAAGUAAUUAAGGAUAUUCUUACAAAUUACCCCCCACUUUUUUAAAUUAUCCAGACUACAGUUCGGGAAUUUUACCAAUUAAUGUAAAAAAAAACUAAAGCGUUAAGGGAAAAAAAGGCGACGUAUUUAUAAUUUUCCAGGAUAUAGAUUUAAAAUUUUUCAGGUUAAAAUUUAUAUAAGAAAUUAAACAGGUGAUUAAUUUUUUUGAAUCUAUGUCCUGUCAAAAUGAAGACGUAGUCCUUUUUUUUUAAGACACUGGAAUCUGCAAUUAAUUAAUAAAAUUUAAAUAUGGGACAGUUGAGUCAGACACGAACUUGUCCGUGAGAGAGAAUGAACUUCAGAGUCUCUCCCACUUCUAAAACUUUUCAAACCGCGCAUGCGCAAAUAAAAGUGGGAGAAUAUUUAGUGUAUAGACCACCCAAAGUGGGGGUAAAGAUCGAAAACACCUGAGGUAAUUCUUCAUAAGAUAAUUUUGAAAAGUGGGGGUAAUUUGUGAGACUGUCUGAAUAAUUGAAAAUAGUUAUUGCACUCAGUUAAUUGCAAUUACUUAAUCAACUGAAUGAAUUCAUGACAGAUUUAACCCCUCCUAAACCUAAAAAUAUUAUUACACUUUGUGUGUAAAUCGAACGCAUUUGGUCAUCUAUUGCUGAUGAUCUCUGCGUCAAAUGAUUCAUAUGUAAUAAUAUUUGGGGAAUUACUUGUGAUUUAAAUACAAUCUAUAAGUAAUUUCACUUUAAAUUAGUGAGUGGGGGUAAUCAUAAUACAAUUAAACUGUUUCUUCACACGAACUUGAAAGGUGGAUUUAGCCACCUAGCGGCGUAGUUCAGUCAACUAACGCCUAUCAUUAUUCCAUUUGUAAAUAAGUCAUCACUGUACAUAUUUAUUGAUAUAAACAAAUUUAUCCUUUUUUGGGUUUCUCACAAUUUUAAAUAUUUAUCCGACAAACUUAUUAAUUAAUUUAUUUUUAAAAUGUAAUUCAUAAAAUGUCAGGUUCUGUAACAUUUGACCCGAGGACAAAGUUACUGAGGUCUAUAAUCGUAUGUAUUUUUUCAAAAAUCAGUUUCUGUAAGUUUAUAAUUUAAAAUUUCAAAAUAAACGCAAACGAAACAUUAAUUAUCACAAUUGUUAAUUAAUUAAAAAAUUUUUACUGAAAUCUACUGUAGAAAUUGAGUAAAAAAAAUUUUUAACUCAAAGUGAUCAAUUUAAAAAAUUUUAAUUAUUGUAAAAAAUUUCUAUAAUUUAUCACUGAGUUUAAAAUUAAAAAUUAAUAUUUAUGUAAAGUCACUGAUAAUUAAUAUAUACGAUUAUUUAGCUUCUGAUUAUUUUGUCCUCGGGUAACUAGUCGCGGUACCGUCAAAGGAUUUUGUUUAAAAAACUGUUCCAUUAAGCAAAUUAAUUUGCAAUUGUAAAUAAUUAUUCUAUAGCCAGUAAUGACAAAUUUAUGAACUAUAACAAUAAUAAUGUUUAUAAUAAAAUUGUAAUAAGCGUAUUUUAGACUGUCCUGCCAAUUUAGCCAGCGAAUGCUGCCGAGUUAAAAGAAUAAAAAUGAAAACAAAAGGAAAAAUAGUUAAUAAAUAAAUUUGAGUUGACAGAGGAGUUAAAUUAAAUUUGAAAAAACUAUUUCGAUUUGUAUUUGUAAAUAAGCAGAGUGCACUGCACUAUUAUUUGGAUAUUUAUCCGGAUUAACAAAACUAAACAAAAGCAUUUCUCGUAAGAUCUCAUUUAAAAUCCAUGGAUAUUUGGAUUUUAUCGAGUACGACUAAAUAUAAUCUCACGAGCAUGGAGAUUUAUUAAGAAUAAGGUAUACUAUUGUAGAAUUUAAAAAUAAGUUUACGUAAAAAUAAAACUAAAUAAACUUAAUUUAUCGAUUUAUUAAUAUUACUAAAUAAUUAAGGUAAUUAAUUAUUUAUUUGAUAUUUAAAUUGCCUUGAUUAUAUAGAAAGUGUGAAAAUUCAAGAUGCACCGACUUUUUUUUUUUUUUUUUUAAAUUACAAAUACGUUUGUUUAUUUUUAAUUGGAAAUCCUACUCUCUGAUUACCUUCCGAAAUAAACUUCCUUAUUAUUAUUAUUAUUGUUUUAGUCUCGUGGAUGACUAAUUGGCCAUUUUUAAUUAUUAUUAAUAAAAUAAAGUGCAGUGAUAGUGAAAGGAUCGCUUUCUUACGUAGAACUUAUGGAUAAAUUAAUAAAUAAAUAAAAGGAAAAUAAAUAAAUAGAAAAUCAUUUUUAAAAAA